UACGGAGGGGGCUAGCGUUGUUCGGAAUUACUGGGCGUAAAGCGCACGUAGGCGGAUAGUUAAGUUGGGGGUGAAAUCCCGGGGCUCAACCCCGGAACUGCCUUCGAUACUGGCUAUCUGGAGGGCGGGCGAGGGUGGUGGAAUUGCCGGUGUAGUGGUGAAAUGCGUAGAGAUCGGCAGGAACACCAGUGGCGAAGGCGGCCACCUAGCCCGCACCUGACGCUGAGGCGCGACAGCGUGGGGAGCGAACUGG
This 253-nucleotide ribosomal RNA is filed under the name uncultured bacterium. Its description in RNAcentral is "partial 16S ribosomal RNA". It matches the Rfam family "Bacterial small subunit ribosomal RNA", at positions 524 to 776 of the family's 1533-position model. The record is from RNAcentral.